GAUUAGAGUUUGAUCCUGGCUCAGAAUGAACGCUGGCGGCGUGCCUAACACAUGCAAGUCGGAUGUGCCCGCAAGGGUGCAUGGCAGACGGGUGAGUAACGCGUGGGGAACCUACCUCUUUGUGGGGAAUAACGUUCCGAAAGGAAUGGUAAUACCGCAUGAGACCAUGGACUGGGAUGUUCAUGGUGAAACCCGGGGACCGAAAGGCCUGGGGCAAGGAGAGGGUCCUGCGUCUGAUUAGCUAGUUGGCGGGGUAACGGCCCACCAAGGCGUCGAUCAGUGGCCGGCCUGAGAGGGUGAUCGGCCACACUGGAACUGUGACACGGUCCAGACUCCUACGGGAGGCAGCAGUGGGGAAUUUUGCGCAAUGGGCGAGAGCCUGACGCAGCAACGCCGCGUGGGUGAUGAAGGUCUUCGGAUCGUAAAACCCUGUCGUCAGGGACGAAGGUCACGAGUUUAAGAGAUGCGUGACUCGACGGUACCGGAGA
Molecule: ribosomal RNA, 488 nt
Filed under: uncultured bacterium
Lineage: Bacteria
Description: bacterial SSU rRNA
Rfam family: Bacterial small subunit ribosomal RNA
Source: RNAcentral